UACGUAGGGGGCAAGCGUUGUCCGGAAUCAUUGGGCGUAAAGAGCGCGUAGGCGGCCCAGUAAGUCCGCUCUGAAAGUCAGGGGCUCAACCCCUGGAUGCGGGUGGAUACUGCUGGGCUAGAGUCCGGAAGAGGUGAGUGGAAUUCCUGGUGUAGCGGUGAAAUGCGCAGAUAUCAGGAGGAACACCGAGUGGCGAAGGCAGCUGCACUGGACGGUACUGACGCUGAGGCGACGAAGGACGUGGGGAGCAAACACGG
Molecule: ribosomal RNA, 257 nt
Filed under: uncultured bacterium
Lineage: Bacteria
Description: partial 16S ribosomal RNA
Rfam family: Bacterial small subunit ribosomal RNA
Source: RNAcentral